This 478-nucleotide ribosomal RNA is filed under the name uncultured bacterium. Its description in RNAcentral is "bacterial SSU rRNA". It matches the Rfam family "Bacterial small subunit ribosomal RNA", at positions 364 to 833 of the family's 1533-position model. The record is from RNAcentral.
UUUCGCAAUGCCCGAAAGGGUGACGAAGCGACGCCGCGUGGGUGAGUAAGGCCUUCGGGUUGUAAAACCCUGUCAGGAGUUAAGAAAUGUAAGUGCGCUAAUAUCGCAUUUAUUUGACGAAGGCUCCAAAGGAAGUCACGGCUAACUCUGUGCCAGCAGCCGCGGUAAUACAGAGGUGGCAAGCGUUGUUCGGAAUUAUUGGGCGUAAAGAGCACGUAGGUGGGUUUGUAAGUCAGAUGUGAAAGCCUUCUGUUCAACGGGAGAAUUGCAUCUGAAACUACAGACCUUGAGUAUAGGAGGGGAGAAUGGAACUUCUGGUGGAGCGGUGAAAUGCGUAGAUAUCAGAAGGAACGCCGGCAGCGAAAGCGACUCUCUGGCCCGAAACUGACGCUGAGGUGCGAAAGCUAGGGGAGCAAACGGGAUUAGAUACCCCGGUAGUCCUAGCCGUAAACGAUGGGCACUAAGUAGAGGGGUUUUA